Long non-coding RNA from Raphanus sativus (radish), 781 nucleotides. RefSeq lists it as uncharacterized. The transcript is spliced from 3 exons. NCBI's taxonomy places the organism in Eukaryota, Viridiplantae, Streptophyta, Magnoliopsida, Brassicales, Brassicaceae. The record is from RefSeq and is a predicted model, not a curated record.
UUAUAGAUAUAUCUAUAAACUUAUGAAUCUGAUCUGAUUUAGUGCAUAGUGACCUGCUUCAAAACAGAGGCUUUGCAAGUUUUAGUGUGGGUAAUUGUCUGCUUGAUACACAGUUACAUUGUCAACUUAGGCCAUUUUAACUGAUAGUCUUGUGUGUUGUAUGCUUACAGGAAAAGUUUACAGGGAUGUAGUGCUUUCUAUGUUGCUCCUGAAGUAUCUGGAGUGCAGGGAUUAUUCAAUACAUCUUGCUUUGUGGUGGGUCAGCAUGCUUUCCGAUGAAGCAUAGAACAAGGAACAAGCUUAAGAAGCUAGCUCUAAAGCAAGGUUACUGCAGAGAGUCUAUCAGAAGAGGAAAUUAAAGGGUCUUAAAACCAUAUUUGCUAAUAUGGAUACCGACAAAAGUUGAACAAUAACUUAGAAGAACUGAACACCGGACUGGUUCUAAGCUCUCUGAAAAAUAACUUUUUUCUGCCAUUUCUUUUCAUGGUUCCAUUCUUCGAUAGUCGUCUUAAAAAUGAUUGAGAAGCCUUUUUAUGUUUUUAGGCUUAUCUCAGGGACGUUGCAUAGAUACAGACAGGAUCACGAUGAGCACUUAUUCAAAGCCUUCCAAUACCUAGACAAAGACAACAGCGGGUAAGUUCUUUCAAGUGGAACUGAGAAAAUAUAUAACAAGUCGAUACAGAUGAUGCAAGUUUUCAAAAAUAUGAAGAGAUCAUGAGAAGUGGUACAACACAGCCAGAACAAGGGAAAACUUCUUCCAGUCUACAGAUUUUAAUCGAAA